This 712-nucleotide ribosomal RNA is filed under the name archaeon enrichment culture clone A21D14. Its description in RNAcentral is "bacterial SSU rRNA". It matches the Rfam family "Archaeal small subunit ribosomal RNA", at positions 21 to 739 of the family's 1478-position model. The record is from RNAcentral.
GGUUACUGCUAUCGAGGUUCGACUAAGCCAUGCGAGUCGAAUGUAGCAAUACAUGGCGAACUGCUCAGUAACACGUGGACAACCUGCCCUUAGGUUGGGUAUAAACCCGGGAAACUGGGUAUAAUACCCGAUAGGUCUCGAUUGCUGGAAUGCAUCGAGAUUUAAAGCUCCGGCGCCUAAGGAUGGGUCUGCGACCUAUCAGGUAGUAGUGGGUGUAGCGUACCUACUAGCCUACGACGGGUACGGGUUGUGAGAGCAAGAGCCCGGAGAUGGAUUCUGAGACACGAAUCCAGGCCCUACGGGGUGCAGCAGGCGCGAAAACUUUACAAUGCUGGCAACAGCGAUAAGGGAACCUCGAGUGCCAGGUUACAAAUCUGGCUGUCGAGAUGCCUAAAAAGCAUUUCAUAGCAAGGGCCGGGCAAGACCGGUGCCAGCCGCCGCGGUAACACCGGCGGCUCGAGUGGUAACCGUUAUUAUUGGGUCUAAAGGGUCUGUAGCCGGCCGGAUAAGUCUCUUGAGAAAUCUGGCAGCUUAACUGUCAGGCUUUCAGGAGAUACUGUCUGGCUCGAGGCCGGGAGAGGCGAGAGGUACUUCAGGGGUAGGGGUGAAAUCUUGUAAUCCUUGAAAGACCACCAGUGGCGAAAGCGUCUCACCAGAACGGACCUGACGGCAAGGGACGAAAGCUAGGGGCACGAACCGGAUUAGAUACCCC